Molecule: unclassified non-coding RNA, 240 nt
Filed under: soil metagenome
Description: partial contains 5.8S ribosomal RNA, internal transcribed spacer 2, and large subunit ribosomal RNA
Source: RNAcentral
AACGCACGAGACCUGCGGACCUGCGGAAGGAUCAUUACAGAGUGUUCUACCCCCUUGUAAAAUGGUGGGUUUAACCUCCCGUCCUUUGCCGGACCCCCCCUUUCGUUGGGGGGCCUUUCAAACCUUUCUGCUUCGGCGGGGUUACCCGUCGGAACACCCUCAAAAAUUCUUGGUCAAAACUGUUCGGUCCGAGAAACUUAUGAAAAUUGAAGCAAAACUUUCAACAACGGAUCUCUAGAU